CCUACGGGAGGCAGCAGUGAGGAAUAUUGGUCAAUGGGCGCGAGCCUGAACCAGCCAAGUCGCGUGCAGGAUGACGGCUCUAUGGUUUGUAAACUUCUUUUAUACGGGAAUAAAGUGAGGCACGUGUUCCUUUUUGUAUGUACUUUAUGAAUAAGGAUCGGCUAACUCCGUGCCAGCAGCCGCGGUAAUACGGAGGAUGCGAGCGUUAUCCGGAUUUAUUGGGUUUAAAGGGUGCGUAGGUGGUUAGUUAAGUCAGUGGUGAAAGUUUGUGGCUCAACCUUAAAAUUGCCAUUGAGACUGGUUGGCUUGAGUAUAGUUGAGGUAGGCGGAAUGCGUGGUGUAGCGGUGAAAUGCUUAGAUAUCACGCAGAACUCCGAUUGCGAAGGCAGCUUACUAAACUACAACUGACAUUGAGGCACGAAAGCGUGGGGAUCAAACAGGAUUAGAUACCCCAGUAGUC
RNAcentral lists this ribosomal RNA (460 nucleotides) under uncultured bacterium. RNAcentral describes it as "partial 16S ribosomal RNA". It matches the Rfam family "Bacterial small subunit ribosomal RNA", at positions 338 to 795 of the family's 1533-position model. The record is from RNAcentral.